AAAAAUUAAAUGCAAAAUUCUUUAAUUCAAUUUUUCCAACUCGUCCACAAUUAGCAUUCGCUUAAUGUCCGGUUUGGCGACAUAAAAUUACUGGGCUCAUUUUAUGUUGUAAUUUGCUCGCUGCUAAUUUUAGCUAAGAGAAUUUUUUCAAUCUCUGUUUGUAAACUUGUAUAAUGUCUUUAGAUGAAUUAAUAUUGGACGUGGGUUCAAUUCCCACCAGCUCCA
Molecule: small RNA, 225 nt
Filed under: Aureoumbra lagunensis
Lineage: Eukaryota; Pelagophyceae; Sarcinochrysidales; Sarcinochrysidaceae
Description: partial transfer-messenger RNA
Rfam family: transfer-messenger RNA
About the family: Bacterial tmRNA, also known as 10Sa RNA or SsrA, is named for its dual tRNA and mRNA-like properties.
Source: RNAcentral